This 864-nucleotide ribosomal RNA is filed under the name uncultured bacterium. Its description in RNAcentral is "bacterial SSU rRNA". It matches the Rfam family "Bacterial small subunit ribosomal RNA", at positions 60 to 917 of the family's 1533-position model. The record is from RNAcentral.
GGCAGCGGGGGUGAUGGCUUGCCAUCACCUGCCGGCGACCGGCGCACGGGUGAGUAACACGUAUGCAACCUGCCCGCCACAGGGGGAUAAGCGGAAGAAAUUCCGUCUAAUACCGCGUGACGCGGCGUCGGGGCAUCCCGGUGCCGCCAAAGGGAUUACCGGUGGCGGAUGGGCAUGCGGCGCAUUAGCUAGUCGGCGGGGUAACGGCCCACCGAGGCGACGAUGCGUAGGGGUUCUGAGAGGAAGGUCCCCCACACUGGUACUGAGACACGGACCAGACUCCUACGGGAGGCAGCAGUGAGGAAUAUUGGUCAAUGGGCGGGAGCCUGAACCAGCCAAGUCGCGUGAGGGAUGACGGUCCUACGGAUUGUAAACCUCUUUUGCCGGGGAGCAAGCGUGCGUUCGUGAACGCGCGUCGAGAGUACCCGGAGAAAAAGCAUCGGCUAACUCCGUGCCAGCAGCCGCGGUAAUACGGAGGAUGCGAGCGUUAUCCGGAUUUAUUGGGUUUAAAGGGCGCGUAGGCGGGAUGCCAAGUCAGCGGUAAAAAAGCGGUGCUCAACGCCGUCGAGCCGUUGAAACUGGCGUUCUUGAGUGGGCGAGAAGUAUGCGGAAUGCGUGGUGUAGCGGUGAAAUGCAUAGAUAUCACGCAGAACUCCGAUUGCGAAGGCAGCAUACCGGCGCCCUACUGACGCUGAGGCACGAAAGCGUGGGUAUCGAACAGGAUUAGAUACCCUGGUAGUCCACGCAGUAAACGAUGAAUGCUAACUGUCCGGUGCGAAUGAGCGCUGGGCGGUACAGCGAAAGCGUUAAGCAUUCCACCUGGGGAGUACGCCGGCAACGGUGAAACUCAAAGGAAUUGACGGG